CAAAAAAAGUCUCUCAUCCAGUAUCAAAGCUUUAGCUGCACCUUAUGCUUCCCAAGGACGGCUUGGAAAGGGCACAGUGGAGCUGCUGCUGAUCCUCUUGCACCGGGCUCAGGGGGUAUCUGGAGAAACCCUGUGUUUCCAGAUAAGGACGUGCUGGAUUUACAGUUGUCUACCACUGUUAAUGCAUCCUCGUCUGCGUGGUCGUGUGAAGGUUGCUUUCCCGUUGACCAGAGGGAGACCCAUGGCUCAUCCGUGCACCCUUCUUAGAGCUGCUGAAGAGACUCAGAAUGGGGUGAUGGCCCCAUGCUCCUUCCUGGGGUCUCCUCUUCCUCAAGGUUAGUGUUACCAGCUGGGGCCUUGUUUUCCCAGGCAGCCUCUAGUGCCAGGUUCAUGCUGAUCUUGCUAAGCACUUUUACUCCUGAGGACAUCUGCGCAAUACAGCUGGUUCAGAAAGGUUUCCCCAAAGCGCAGUCAUUUAUUGUGAGCCAGCAUUUGCAGAGUAAUCCCAUACAAGUCAUUAGCUGGGUCGCUGGAGCUUGCCCUGGGGUCUGUCCAGGGAAUCCCAG
RNAcentral lists this long non-coding RNA (566 nucleotides) under Gallus gallus (chicken). RNAcentral's name for it is "long non-coding RNA NONGGAT002948". The record is from RNAcentral. Lineage: Eukaryota; Metazoa; Chordata; Aves; Galliformes; Phasianidae.